UUUCCGUAGGUGAACCUGCGGAAGGAUCAUUCAUAAUAAAGUGUUUUAUGGCACUUUUUAAAAAUCCAUAUCCACCUUGUGUGCAAUGUUAGAUCUCGUCAAUCUUGGCGAGAUUUUUAUACAUCAACUCAUUCUUUAACUAAUUUGUCUGAAAAAUAUUAUGAAUACUUAAUUCAAAAUACAACUUUCAACAACGGAUCUCUUGGCUCUCGCAUCGAUGAAACGCAGC
This 229-nucleotide unclassified non-coding RNA is filed under the name plant metagenome. RNAcentral's name for it is "partial contains small subunit ribosomal RNA, internal transcribed spacer 1, and 5.8S ribosomal RNA". The record is from RNAcentral.